RNAcentral lists this ribosomal RNA (774 nucleotides) under uncultured Neocallimastigales. RNAcentral's name for it is "partial large subunit ribosomal RNA". It matches the Rfam family "Eukaryotic large subunit ribosomal RNA", at positions 23 to 645 of the family's 3401-position model. The record is from RNAcentral. Lineage: Eukaryota; Fungi; Neocallimastigomycota; Neocallimastigomycetes; Neocallimastigales.
AGAGAGAGACAUGCGCGCAUAUCAAUAAGCGGAGGAAAAGAAACUAACUAGGAUUCCCUUAGUAACGGCGAGUGAAGCGGGAAGAGCUCAAAUUUGAAAUCUUCAAGGUUUUACCUUGACGAAUUGUAGUUUAAAGAAGUGUUUUCUGCUGGAGUUUUGGUAAAAGUUCUUUGGAAUAGGACAUCAUAGAGGGUGAGAAUCCCGUAUUUGACCAUUAUUUCAGCUUUGUGAUACACUUUCAAAGAGUCGGAUUGUUUGGGAAUGCAGUCCAAAAUGGGUGGUAAAUUUCAUCUAAAGCUAAAUAUUGGCGAGAGACCGAUAGCGAACAAGUACCGUGAGGGAAAGAUGAAAAGAACUUUGAAAAGAGAGUUAAACAGUACGUGAAAUUGUCAAAAGGGAAGCGUUUGACACCAGUGUUGUUUUCUCGAAAAUCAAUUAAAAAUGGCUCGAUUUUGUAUUGUUGAGACCUUAAAAGCUCACUGUACAUUUUUCGUGUCUUUUUUAAUGCACUUUUCGUUUAACAAGUCAACAUCAGUUUCUUUUGUUGUAAAAGGGUCAUUGGAAGGUGGCUUUCUUUUCGGAGAAAGUGUUUAUAGCCUUUGGCCUCUGCAAUCGGAGAGACUGAGGUCUGCAGCGUAGACUCUUCGGGGUUAGAUACAUUUGUGCUAAGUUAGUAGCUUUUUAUAGACAACUUGUUGACUAUAAUUAGUCUUGUAGCUUACUCGCUUAUGCUAUUUUACCUACGCUUAGGAUGUUGAAGUCAUCGUAUCGCGC